Molecule: ribosomal RNA, 338 nt
Filed under: Actinomyces sp. oral taxon E63
Lineage: Bacteria; Bacillati; Actinomycetota; Actinomycetes; Actinomycetales; Actinomycetaceae
Description: bacterial SSU rRNA
Rfam family: Bacterial small subunit ribosomal RNA
Source: RNAcentral
UGGUCCUGGAUGAGUGGCGAACGGGUGAGUAACACGUGAGUAACCUGCCCCCUUCUUCUGGAUAACCGCAUGAAAGUGUGGCUAAUACGGGAUAUUCUGGGUCUGUCGCAUGGUGGGCCUGGGAAAGGUUUUUUCCGGUGGGGGAUGGGCUCGCGGCCUAUCAGCUAGUUGGUGGGGUGAUGGCCUACCAAGGCGGUGACGGGUAGCCGGCCUGAGAGGGUGGACGGUCACACUGGGACUGAGACACGGCCCAGACUCCUACGGGAGGCAGCAGUGGGGAAUAUUGCACAAUGGGGCGCAAAGCCCUGAUGCAGCGACCGCCGCGUGAGGGGAUGGGA